AAGGUGCCCAUAGGGUGGUUAUAGCGUACACAAGGUACCCCAUAGGCUACCCCAUAGGGUGCCCCACAGGGUGCCCCAUAGGAUAUCCCAUAGGAUACCAUAAAUACCCCAUAGGAUACCCCAUAGGAUACCCCAUAGGGCGGCUAUAGGGUACCCCAUAGGGUGGCUAUAGGAUACCCCAUAGGGUGGCUAUAGGAUACCCCAUAGGAUACCCCAUAGGAUACCCCAUAGGGCGGCUAUAGGGUACCC
RNAcentral lists this long non-coding RNA (249 nucleotides) under Coturnix japonica (Japanese quail). RNAcentral describes it as "lncRNA (ENSCJPG00005002709.1)". Lineage: Eukaryota; Metazoa; Chordata; Aves; Galliformes; Phasianidae. The record is from RNAcentral.